GGAACCUUCAGGAGGUCUUCUUGGAGCUCAGGGAUGGGCACCGGAUUCCCGUGUUCAAGCCCAGCGGGGAGGGGCCCGCGAGUCUCCCCGUGGUUCUCGCCGCAUCGGUGAGAAGGGUUUCUAAACGGAAGAGGUUUCCGAAGGUCAGCAUCCGGUUGCCCAGGGAGAAAGGCCUUCCUCCUGUUGCUCUACCUUGAGUUCAUGAUGAGUAGCUUGUGGACAUUCUCAAGCACUCGCAAUUUUAUUUUCUCUAUUGUUGUUCUAGUUUCUUAUUUGUUUUUGUCACCAGCUGCCUGUCUGAUAGAAGAUUUUGCCAAAUAAUACGCUCUCAUGCACCCAUUUUGAAAGCUUAGAACAGUUAUGUGUGCAAAAGCACCUGUGAAACACGGGAAAGUUGAAGCCAACAGAUCCGUGCUCGUCUCCUUUCCACACGGCUUAACGACAUACUAGGGAACCUCACCUAUUGGUUUUACCAAUUUUCCAAGGGGACAGAAUGAGGAAGCAAAGCCCUUCCGUGCCUUGGGCACUGGAUGAUACAGAAUCCAGAAAUCUGCUGCCUUGGCUGCGAAAGGCCAAUUUAACUCUCUUGAUGUUAUUAGGCUUAAUUCCGUUUUCGUGAGUUCGAAUAUAAUUGAUGAGCUCCGAGUCUUUUCUGAGAGCCUUCUCUCCCAUGAGUAUUAAGCAUAAACACUCUGGUAGCGUGUGGGGCCUUUCAUCACUGGAAGCAAUUUCUGAUCUGUAGUUUUGUUUCUUUAAGCAAAUAUGUUCUUUGAAUCGAUUCUAAAGUGAAAACGGCUUUUCUCAGACGGCCUCUUCCAGUUGGUGUCGGUAACUGCUGUGGUCUGUGCGUCUCCCUCGAGUACACGCCCUUCAUAUGCUGCUUCGUAUCUGACGGUUCUCUAACAGCUUUCGCUUCCUUUCGGUGUUUGCUGGAUUGUUCUCCUGCUGGGGCCAACCGUAGACAACCAGGGCCUGAGCGGGCCAUCUGUUUUGAAGUAAAAGCAACUGACAUUUUUGUAUAGAAUUUGGAUUAUGAGGUUUUCCGGGCCCAACUGACAGGAAACAGUAUCACGUAGUGAAAAGAUCCUUGAUUUCUAUGUGGAAGUCACCCUCUCGGGUAUUUUUUUCCCAGUUAAGCAUUCGUCCACAUAGGCACGUCCUAGCGCCGUCGUGGUUGACUGUGAGGCUGGAACCCAGUCGCCCUAGCAGAUACUGACCUUCCUGUUCCUGAAGCAGUGAGGUGUCUAUCUCUGCAGCCCACGACUUCCUGCAUGUCCAGUAAAUGCUGUGACUCAGCCCUGGACCCCAGGAGGGACCUUGAAGACAUCCUGGCUAAAGCACAUCAUCAUCCGAGGCCAAGGCGACUUCUCACCAUUGGAGCACGUGCUCGAGGCACACCCCAGCAGUCAGACCGACGGUCUAGCAGCUGGAGGAAGGGCUGCACUAGAAGUGUAGACGGAUGAAACCACAGUAGAGGGAUCACAGCCAACAACAGGCAGGAGGACUCCCACGUGUCUGCCACACAGGACGCUGCACGGUCGCUGCUCACAAGUGGCUCACCUACUGGUGUGCACGCUGGGUGGGCAGGGGCUGGUCGCGCUCCUGGGCCAGAAGGGUUCAGGUGGUGGUGCUAAAAUGAGGUAGGAGAGAGAGACCGGUUCGGAUGAAUCCAAGAGGCCCAGCAUCACCCCUCCUCCUUGGGCUGGCGACCUUGUGCGACUUGAAAUCCUAAGAUUCAGACAUGAUGGAGACGGCUCUGCAAGCAGGAGGAACAUGAAGAAAGGCCCAGCAGAGGCAGUGUGUGUGGCUUAGCUGACGGUACAGCCACCGGGCAGCCCCGUGUGAACGCCAGCGUUGGCGUUUCGAUGCGGCUUGUGGCCAUCAGGUUUUGAGUGAAGUAUAUGAGUCUACUGUUAAUGAAGGUUUAAGAGACUGUGCUGAAUUGUACUGACAAGACCUGUCAACUUUCAAAGUCUCAGCUUUAGCUGUCAUCCCAUUCUUGUAGAUUUAGCUUCCCCCGCCGCUCGUCCCUCCAGCCGUCCCCCAUUCACCCACCCAGGCAUUUAAUAUACCCCCCACCCCAGUUCUCAGCAACGAUGAAGCUCAAAUAAGCUGCCUUCGCAGGAAGCUGCCAGCAGCACUCACCGGAGAAACAGUGGCCUCUGUGCUCUGGCCGAGCGGAGGUCAGGAGACUGGUCCCUCGCCAGCAGCUCCAUGGGGCUCGGGAGGGCACGUCGCCUUAGGCUGCUUGACAGUCGGGUUUUCAGUUUGUCCAGGUAAAAACGAGGAAUGGUUACCCAUCGCUGUGCUUCCAGGUGAGGCCCUGUUUACACUGCUUGGGCAAAAGCCGCUGUAUACACAGGAGGCGGGGGGACUGGGUGCAGCGGGGUGUGCAGGAGGAGGCGAGAGGGUGAAAGGAAAACCUCCAGCACCCCCCCGCCCCCGGAAGAUUCUCGCUUCUGCACUAACCUGUUUGCUGGCCAGGCUUGUCUUUCGCCAGCUUGAGCAGCUGCGUCGUUGAGCGCGCGGUCAGCAGUGUGAACGGAGGCUCUGACGAUUUGCAAACUCAAGGUUCAAAAGUGGGAGGUGGGGAUACUAAGAACGCCUCAGACACUGCUAUGCUGUGUGCAUAGCAUUUAUAUACAUGGGCAUUUAAUACAUGGGGUGUAUUAAAUGCCUUUUAUCAUUAAGCCUGCCACCAGGUAACUAUUUUAAAUUUAGCAACCAUGUGUCAGUUACUUUGCAGUCUUGAUAGGAAGGUAACUUUUUACUUCGAAAUUAUUUUUAGAAAGAAACUAUAGAUCAUUCUCUUUCAUGAGUGUUUCAAAAUUCUAAAUAAAAUAUUAG
Molecule: long non-coding RNA, 2847 nt
Filed under: Sus scrofa (pig)
Lineage: Eukaryota; Metazoa; Chordata; Mammalia; Artiodactyla; Suidae
Description: lncRNA (ENSSSCG00055006260.1)
Source: RNAcentral